AGUGAACGCUGGCGGUAGGCCUAACACAUGCAAGUCGAACGGCAGCACAGUAAGAGCUUGCUCUUACGGGUGGCGAGUGGCGGACGGGUGAGGAAUACAUCGGAAUCUACUUUUUCGUGGGGGAUAACGUAGGGAAACUUACGCUAAUACCGCAUACGACCUACGGGUGAAAGCAGGGGAUCUUCGGACCUUGCGCGAUUGAAUGAGCCGAUGUCGGAUUAGCUAGUUGGCGGGGUAAAGGCCCACCAAGGCGACGAUCCGUAGCUGGUCUGAGAGGAUGAUCAGCCAAACUGGAACUGAGACACGGUCCAGACUCCUACGGGAGGCAGCAGUGGGAAUAUUGGACAAUGGGCGCAAGCCUGAUCCAGCCAUACCGCGUGGGUGAAGAAGGCCUUCGGGUUGUAAAGCCCUUUUGUUGGGAAAGAAAAGCAGCAGGUUAAUACCCCGCUGUUCUGACGGUACCCAAAGAAUAAGCACCGGCUAACUUCGU
RNAcentral lists this ribosomal RNA (490 nucleotides) under uncultured bacterium. RNAcentral's name for it is "partial 16S ribosomal RNA". It matches the Rfam family "Bacterial small subunit ribosomal RNA", at positions 29 to 506 of the family's 1533-position model. The record is from RNAcentral.